This 315-nucleotide unclassified non-coding RNA is filed under the name Hevea brasiliensis (rubber tree). The record is from RNAcentral. Lineage: Eukaryota; Viridiplantae; Streptophyta; Magnoliopsida; Malpighiales; Euphorbiaceae.
GGAUAUGAAUCGAAACGGAUUGGAUUCUGCAGCCUGUACGUGAUCAUUACAACAAAGAUGCUAAUGCCAAGGAUCUGUUGAAACGGGUUGAGGUUUGUAUACUUACUCUGCUUUGUUUUUCUGCCUAUGAGUAGGAUUGUUAAUUGAUUUGAGUUAAACCUGAGAACUUGACGUGUUCAGCUCAAAAAAUUCAAAUUCUUUGGGUGAACUGUGAUUAGGGGCGUAACUGAUUUGAGUCAAGUCAAUAUUUUCUGCUACUUUAGCUCAAUUUGAGUCAAUGUCUGAUGCUAUGCGUUCAGUUGUUUUUAAUAGAAU